This 501-nucleotide long non-coding RNA is filed under the name Gallus gallus (chicken). RNAcentral describes it as "long non-coding RNA NONGGAT008701". The record is from RNAcentral. Lineage: Eukaryota; Metazoa; Chordata; Aves; Galliformes; Phasianidae.
CGGGGGGGGGCCGUUAUUUAUAUCGUUAAAGGGACAGGCCGCCCAUUUCUCCGCCGUGGGGGCUGGGGGGGGCCGCUGCACGGCCACCGACUUUCUCCCCCCCCCUUUCCCCCCCCUCCCCAACCCCCGGACCGGAGGAACCCGGGGCUGAGUGAGGCGCUGAGGCGACAGCGGAGAGUUUCUUCCCUCCUCCCUCCUCCUCCUUCUCCUCCUCCCCGCGGCCGUCAGCGGAGGGAGAAAGGGCCCCGCCGGGAGCACGGAGCAGCCGGGCGGCCCCCACCCCCCGCGCUCCCCUCCUCCCCCUUUAUUGCCCUUUGUGUGCGUUCGCCGCCUGCGCCGCUCCGGGGCCGGCCGGGCGCCGGGGGGCCGCUGAGUGCCUCAUACCAAGAGGUCUAAGGCCGAUUUGGGUUCUCUGGCUGCUGUCACAGCGACCUCUUAGGAACUGGAAGAACUGAAUCUGUUGGCUCAUUUUACUGCAGGCUGCUAGUUAUCAACAGCUAU